Scophthalmus maximus (turbot) is the source of this 2016-nucleotide long non-coding RNA. NCBI's taxonomy places the organism in Eukaryota, Metazoa, Chordata, Actinopteri, Pleuronectiformes, Scophthalmidae. The record is from Ensembl.
AUGCCGGCCCAGGCGAUCGGCUCCAUGUCGGGAUGCAGGGACGACGCCACAGGGGGGAUUGACCUCCGCGGCGAGCCGGACCAGGUGGUGCAGGACCUCCGGAAACUUCCCGGGAAACUCCGUCAAGAAGUCGAACGCCCGGUCGACGACGACGCCCUUCCCCGGAGGCGCAGGAAGAGGCAGCAGCAGCAUCUCUGCUAUUUGUUCCGGAGACAAGAGGUGAAGAACCUCCAGCUGAACGGGAGACGACAGAGCAGAGGAGAGAAUACAAUCGUUCACUCGCUUUAUAAAUCCAAUAUGUUGUUAUUAUUAUUAUUAUUAUUAACUCGGGGUUCCUCUUCCGUUGGGUUGAGAAGAGUAUUUCUCCGGACUUACUCCGGAGAACUUUGGGUUGAGCUCGUAGAAGUCGGUGACGACGGCGAACCUGGAGAAGGAGCCAAAGUUCUUCCUCAGCCACUCUGCACUGUGAUUGGCCGAGGACGCACACUGGGGAUCUGGAACGUGUGGACAGAAAUGUUUACGUACGGAAUCAACCACCUUUGUCUUGAAGUACUUGUACUCUACAUGUGUAUUUCAACUUCAUUCAACGUACUAACUUCUACUUUAUCAGUUACUAUAAAAACAAAACGCGUGAUCAAUCAAAAGACACAUACAUAACAUAACAUAAACAAGAGUUCAAAUUGGCGUCACCUCAACAAAUUGAAACAGCAACAUGUUGCUCACAAUAAAUGAGCAUUUAAUACUUGAAAUACUGUACUUAAGUAGAGUUUUGACAGACUUGAACUUACUUAAGCAACUUUUUUUAGUUACUGUGUAAAUAAAGAUUUCUUAAACAAAACUUACUGUAUACUGUAAUCAGCUUAUUAGUAAUGAUGCGUUGCUGCAGAUAAAAGUAACUUAAAGUAAAUAAAGUAGCUUAAAUUGGCUCCACAUUGAAGAACUACAGCAUUAAAAUGUCGCUGACACAUCACUGCGUCACAGACCCAAUUAAUAAAAUAAACUAACGCGUCCCCUUUUGAUUCUUUACAAAAACAUUUUCAGUAAAAGUAUUUAAAAAGUUAUUUCUACUCAGCAGAAGCAGAUACAGUAACAGUAGCAACGUUUGCAUCGUUCAUGCUGUAAGUGACGACGUGUUUUCUCCUCUCUGCCUCCAGACGUCAGCCUGCCUACCCGAGGAGUUGUGAUGCAGCAGGAAGGGGUAGAUGAAGUGUUCAUAGAUGCCACGACUGUACUUUCGAUCAGCAUCCAGGAAACUCAUGUGUUUGCUGAGACCUGCGACACUGCACAUAGCAAGAGUCAAACACAAAAUGACGAUGAUUACUACACCGAACCACGUGUGUGUGUGUGUGUGUGUGUGUGUGUGUGUGUGUGUGUGUGUGCGUGUGUCAAGAAAAAAACAAACCAAAAGCUCAAAUCUGUGAACUCACAUGGUUUGGUAGACGGGGCAGGAGAAGUUCUUGCUGCUGAGGCAGGAGAGCAGGUCCGGGUGCACGUCGGGUAGCAGGGGCAUCAGUUUGGUCUUGAACCAGAGCUCGAUGAAGGCCGGGUCCCGCAGGUGUUCCUCGGUCAGAGACGGAGUUUCCGGCUCGUCGAAGAUCGGCCGAAAGUCGGACGCCAACUUGGUGAAGUUCUACCGGAGGGACAAAGAAGGCACAGAGUUCAGUUUUUAUUUUAAAAUGUUGAAUAAGAUGAGCAAGAAAAUACACACAACUACACACAAGUGAUCAUGUACAGUAGCGUGUACCGGUGUACAUUUUGUGCCGGAGGUUUUGUGAGUCUGUAAUUGCUCAGAAAAGUUAAGGGCAAAGUCUUGGUUUAUGUUCAGCUUUGAAAACAAAAUGGGAAUCUAUCAUUCCCAUAUUGUUUGACACUUAAAGUAUGAGCAAUUGGGAAACACAUAAAAUGCAUCUGUGGGUGAAAAUCUGUGCGCAUUGUACUCCGAUUAUUUAAUCGCUAAUGAUAAUGAAUGAAUAUCUAAUCAUUUAAUCUCGGAAAAUGUGGAUGGAAAUCAAUGAA